Long non-coding RNA from Musa acuminata AAA Group (dessert banana), 1160 nucleotides. RefSeq lists it as uncharacterized. The transcript is spliced from 4 exons. Lineage: Eukaryota; Viridiplantae; Streptophyta; Magnoliopsida; Zingiberales; Musaceae. The record is from RefSeq and is a predicted model, not a curated record.
UGUAAGAAACCAUUGUCAAGGGAAACCGUGUUGAGAUGGGGAAAAGCUAAUCCCUUCCUCAUGUCAAUGAUCUCCUUCUUAACGAGAAAUCGAAGGUUGGAGCACUGAAGAAGAAACUUCAGCUCUCGAUCUAUCGACGUUCAAGCCUUCAUCAGCAGCGUCAACAGGGUCAGGAUUCGUGCACCAAAGGUCACAGCUUACAACAUAAUAUCCAUAUCGGACGUUCAUGCUUCAGUUCAAGAUGUUUUUUGGUGUGUGAUAUGGUUGUUAAAGUCCCACAUCGACCAACCAAAACCUUGCGAUUCCGUGGGUCGGCCAUAAACAGUUCAACUCGUCAAUCAUUUGGUUCCUCGCCGCUGUAGAUGACUGCUCGGCCUCAAAUUAGCGACCAGGCCAUGAGCCCCUUAGAUCUUAUGGAGUCUAACCCAGAUCUAACAAGGAAGAUUAAUUGGUGGCUUCGAGGGAACACCUGAGGAAUCACCAGCAUGACCAGAUUUAACCACAUUAGAUGGUCCCCAGUUGAUUCAGUGAUCUAGUGCAGAUCUAAUACAUCAAAUUGAAUACUGAAGCUGCUUGCCUGGAUAGGGAAAAUCCAGAUAAAAAUGGUGCAAUGCAGUGUAGUAAUUAUCCUGACAGAGUUGAAUCACAAUUUCUUGCAGCCUGGAUAGGGAAAAUCCAGAUAAAAAUGGACAUGACUAUGUCGGAGAUGGAGAUGAAACAAGUUGCAGUUGCAGUUGGCACUGGCAAUGUAAUUCCAAUAAGAAGAGGGGUUUAGGAACUCAUGAAUGCAUGUUCCAAAGUGCAAAUUUUAGAUCAAAGGUUCAACCACACUGGGAAGUAUUUGGAUUCAGGUGCCUUGAAGAUAUCUAAGAAUUCAUCACUGGCUGAAGGAAUCCAUGACAGUGAAACAGUUCAAGAAAGUGUUUGCUUGAACUGCAGGAAUUGCAUUCUGUAGUGUGCAAGACAAGUGCUCCUCUCAAAGACUGAAAGCUUCCUGCAUUGGCAAGUCAUUUGUGUAGAAGAUCAUCAAGUACUACUCAUCCAGAUUCUCUUGAAUAAAAUUCUAGUAAUAUUAGUAUCUGAAGCUGAACAACAAACUCCUUGUAAGCUUGUCACAAACUGGAUUAAGAAACUGAGAAUUAGAUACUGAUGCAUGCCAA